CCUUGAUGUAUCCACUUACAGGCUUGUGGGACAAGACACUAUUCAAAGGAAUGGGAGACACACUGAUCCAGAAGUUCCAACACUGUGAUCUGCAACGAACUGGGCUUCAGUGAUCAACAGUCUCCUCAAGACUUAAUCUGUUGGGAAUUUUAUGUGCCCAUGGUCGGCUUCAUCUGUCUUCCAGACAGAGUGAUAAAAAGUGGAAUCACAGCUAAUGGAGUCCCAUGCAGGUUACUGAUAGCUCCAAAGACUGGCCUAGAAACUGGCAAGCACUUUACAAGUUACUGGCAACAGAAAAUCUAAAAAAUGGCAUCAGAUUUUCAAAGUAGAAGGGACAUGUCUUGGAUGUGAAAGAUAAAAGGUUGCUCUGCUCACAGGAGGACAUUAGGAGGAGAGUGGAUCACUUAAUCUUUCAUCAAGGGUUUUGCUGGUUUCAUAUAACUACAACAGUUAUGUGUAUGAAUCUUGAGAAGCCAAACUGGAGAAAAAAAUAUCCAAUCUU
Non-coding RNA from Macaca mulatta (Rhesus monkey), 502 nucleotides. The record is from RefSeq and is a predicted model, not a curated record. Lineage: Eukaryota; Metazoa; Chordata; Mammalia; Primates; Cercopithecidae.